This is a long non-coding RNA of Haliotis rubra (blacklip abalone), 142 nucleotides long. RefSeq lists it as uncharacterized. The record is from RefSeq and is a predicted model, not a curated record. NCBI's taxonomy places the organism in Eukaryota, Metazoa, Mollusca, Gastropoda, Lepetellida, Haliotidae. The transcript is spliced from 5 exons.
UUGUGGGCGAUUCGACCGUUGUGUGCAGGACCGGAUCUGCGACAUCGAGUGCCCCGGAUGUAGGGGCAAGACUGAUUGCCACCACGCCGGGUCAUUAAUCGGACACUGCGUUUGUAAAAGCUGAACUUGGAACAUAAGAUCG